AUUGAACGCUGGCGGCAGGCCUAACACAUGCAAGUCGAACGAGUGGCGGACGGGUGAGUAAUGUCUGGGAAACUGCCUGAUGGAGGGGGAUAACUACUGGAAACGGUAGCUAAUACCGCAUACCAUCGGAUGUGCCCAGAUGGGCUUAGCUAGUAGGUGGGGUAAAGGCUCACCUAGGCGACGAUCCCUAGCUGGUCUGAGAGGAUGACCAGCCACACUGUGACUGGGACACGGUCCAGACUCCUACGGGAGGCAGCAGUGGGGGAUAUUGGACAAUGGGCUCAAGACUGAUGCAGCCAUGCAGCGUGUAUGAAGAAGGGCUUCGGGUUGUAAAGUACUUUCAGCGGGGAGGCGUUACCCGCAGAAGAAGCCCCUGCUAACUCCGUGCCAGUAGCCGCGGUAAUUC
Molecule: ribosomal RNA, 406 nt
Filed under: uncultured bacterium
Lineage: Bacteria
Description: partial 16S ribosomal RNA
Rfam family: Bacterial small subunit ribosomal RNA
Source: RNAcentral